RNAcentral lists this ribosomal RNA (1329 nucleotides) under Triticum aestivum (bread wheat). RNAcentral's name for it is "partial small subunit ribosomal RNA". Lineage: Eukaryota; Viridiplantae; Streptophyta; Magnoliopsida; Poales; Poaceae. The record is from RNAcentral.
AUGGAUCGCCGAGGUGGUAUAACUCAAACUGACCUGGAGUAUAUGCUACAUGAUGAAGAUGCAGAGCCAAUGGCUCUGCCAUUCCCUCUCUUGGAGAAAAUCACAGAUUAUUUUUCUGACGAGUUGAUAAUUGGAAGAGGUGGCUGUGCGGUGGUUUAUAAGGCAAUACUUGAUAAUGGCGUUCUCGCUGUAAAGAGGCUGCCAAAUACGUACAUGUAUGAGGAACAAUUCCACCGAGAGGUGGAAUGUCUAAUGAAAGUGAAGCACAAAAACAUUGUCCGAUUUCUGGGAUAUUGUGCUGACACCCAAGGGAAUAUGGGAAGCUACAAUGGGAAAAUGGUUAUGGCAGAUGUACAACAAAGACUGCUCUGCUUCGAGUAUCUGCCCAGGGGAAGUCUUGAUCAUUAUAUUACAGAUUCAUCUGGAGGACUUGAAUGGGUAAAGCGCUUCCAAGUAAUAAAAGGCAUAUGCGAAGGGCUAAAUUAUCUUCACCAAAACAAUAUCAUGCACUUGGAUCUAAAACCCGGGAAUAUAUUAUUGGAUGAAGAUAUGAUGCCAAAAAUUACUGACUUCGGACUAUCAAGGUGUUUUGAGGAAGACCAAACACGUGUGAUUACUAAGAAUGUGGGCGGAACAUUGGGAUACCUGGCACCAGAAUUCCAUGAGGGUGAAAUCACACACAAAUUUGACGUGUAUAGUCUUGGUGUUAUUAUUAUGGAGAUGUUGACUGGAAAGAAGAGGUGUGAAAGUAUCGCAGAUGUACGUGAAAGUUGGAGUUAUAAGUCAGAUAUAUUGUGGUGGGAUCAAAUACGAGUAUGUGCUGAGAUUGGGAUCGAGUGCACAGACUUAAAACCAGCCAACAGACCAGAAAGUAUGAAACAUAUAAUUGAUAGACUUUUAUCAACAGAAUGCAGCACACAUGUAAUCCCAGUAGAAAAAGAAGAGUUACCACGAAAGUGGAUCACAGAUGUGAUCCUCCACGGUGCUUCGCUAAUAUUAGGGGGUUAUGAGCAUAUAAAGACUUUCCAAAGCCAACCAGACAAGUAUUUUCAAGAGAUGGGGAAUGCAGUGCAGGAGGUGGAACUAAAAGCACUUUAUACUCCACCACAACACACCACAACAUCGACGUAUGAGCCAAUCCCGCCCACAAUCAAGAUAAUAUGCAAGGUAAAAGAUCUAGGCCAGUAUUCCCUGGAUACAAACCAGGCCAAGCAGUGUAUAAUUAUAGGAGAAGAGAAUGGGCAUGUUGGCUUUUGGGACCAUCAGACACAGGCAUGUAACAGUGUUGUCCUUUUCCCGAUAAAGAAUAUUGAUGCCUCUCAGCACUAA